RNAcentral lists this ribosomal RNA (465 nucleotides) under uncultured bacterium. Its description in RNAcentral is "partial 16S ribosomal RNA". It matches the Rfam family "Bacterial small subunit ribosomal RNA", at positions 28 to 507 of the family's 1533-position model. The record is from RNAcentral.
GACGAACGCUGGCGGCGUGCUUAACACAUGCAAGUCGAACGGAAAGGCCCCUUUGGGGGUACUCGAGUGGCGAACGGGUGAGUAACACGUGAGUAACCUGCCCUUGACUUCGGGAUAACUUCAGGAAACUGGGGCUAAUACCGGAUAGGAAUCCUUGCUGCAUGGUGGGGGUUGGAAAGCUUCGGCGGUUUUGGAUGGACUCGCGGCGUAUCAGCUUGUUGGUGGGGUAGUGGCUUACCAAGGCUUUGACGGGUAGCCGGCCUGAGAGGGCGACCGGCCACAUUGGGACUGAGAUGCGGCCCAGACUCCUACGGGAGGCAGCAGUGGGGAAGAUUGCACAAUGGGCGGAAGCCUGAUGCAGCAACGCCGCGGGCGGGAUGACGGCCUUCGGGUUGUAAACCGCUUUCAGCAGGGGCGAAGCUUGUGGUGACGGUACCUGCAGAAGAAGCACCGGCUAACUACGUG